AUGAAGUCUGGUUUCCCUCUGUACCCCAUAAUUUAUCAGAAUGCGGUCUUAUCGUGUGACUUGGGAGUUGGUCGUGGACCAACAUAUACAAUUUCUUUCACGACCAACUCCCAAGUCAUAUGAUAAGACCGCAUUAUGAUAAAUAAUGGGGUACAGAGGGAAACCUACCAAAUUCUCUUUGAACCUGUAGUUCACUGUGAGUGAGAACCAAAGACUAUCAGACUUCAUGUCACUAGCUAGACUUCUGAGCUGCUCCGUGAAUAGACGUAGUUCAAUUGACGCAAAAUCAAUUUGCUGAUCAGAUUUAAAUGAUGUAGUGGGAAACACAUUCCUUUUUAUCACGGAGCUGAUGUUAAACAAUGAUUCUCCCACCUUCAAGUUUAACUUGAAGAUGGGUUUAAUCCUCACGUAACGUUGUGAGGUCCAACGAGUAGUUAAACUGAGUGCUUCUUGUAUGGUUACAUUAUCCGGGUUGACAAUUUCUGGGAGGCUGGGCGAUGUAGAUGAUAUAGAAUAAAGCGGCUUCAUCACUUCAGCUGCUUCUAAUUAACACCCAUCGUGAUGAACAUGAUAGUUACACAUACGAGAUCAACCCGUACAUCAGCAUUUGCAUUCUCCGGCGGUGGUGGUGCACCAUUGAGAUCAACCCUUACAUUUGCAUUCACCGGCGGUGGUGGUGCACCAUCGAGAUCAACCCAUACAUCUAUAGGGAACAUUACACUGCCUAUGUGACGGGAAUUGAAGUCGGUGCAGAGUUUUUGAAUCUUUCAAAUGGAGCAGUAGAGAAGAGAAAGGCAGUAAUAGAUAGUGGUACAUCAUUGGUAUAUCUCCCAAAAGUGAUCUACAAGCCACUGAUCCUAGCAGUGCAGUCCGGUAUGUGAUCACAUGUUCUUCAUGACAAUUUUACAUGCAUUGGAAGUAGGGGUAUAAGUGUUGAUGAUGAGUUUCCUGCAGUCACAUUCCAUUUUGAAAAUUCAGUUUCAUUGAAGGUUGAUCCUCAUGAUUAUAUGUUUAUAUAUGGUGAUUUAAUGUGUUUGGGGUGGCAAGAGAAUUACAUGGGCUCCACAAGUGAAAGGGACAUAAUUGUAUUGGGAGAAUUGAUACUCUUGGAUAAGCUCUUCUUGUAUGAUCUUGAAAAGUAGACAAUUGGAUGGACCGAAUACAACUGUGAGUCCUAUGUUUUUAACGUGUUAAUUCGAGCUGGUCAAAGGGGGUUUGGGUCAACUGGUAACUUUCGGUAUGGGUUUAGGUUGACCCAACACCCCUUUUCUCCAAAAUAUUCAAAAUGUUGUAUAAGUAGGUAGUGUGUCGGAUAUGAUCACGAUAAACUAUAAUAAUCAUAAUCUUUGAAUGAAUUGAUUUUUAAGGUUUUAUAAUAAGCAAAUGUAACUCAUUUGACUAGUUUACUUUUAAGCUAACUUUUUUGGAUUUACCUGUUUGACCCAUUAGAGAUAAAUCAUAAUCUAAAUUGUAAGUAAAAGGGCCAGAUUGCCAUUUGUCACCUCUACUGGAUUUCAACUUUGGUUUUCUUUACUAUUUGAG
Molecule: long non-coding RNA, 1542 nt
Filed under: Helianthus annuus (common sunflower)
Lineage: Eukaryota; Viridiplantae; Streptophyta; Magnoliopsida; Asterales; Asteraceae
Source: RNAcentral